GUGACAACAAGCAGCAACAGUUAGUAGCGAUCGUUUAUUUUUUCCUCUCGUCUGGCCUUUCAACAUGGAGGAUUACAUAUAUAAAAUAAAACUGUUUUCUAAACUGGACUUUCAAUUGAAGCAGGAGGUAAUAAUUAAAGGAAGACCAACGCCGGAGCUAAAAGGUUUGCUUCAGACUUCGGGACAGAAGACCCGUUCUUUUCAAACGGCGUGCUACACACGAAAAGUCUGGCUGUGUGGAUGUCCAGCAAGAAACCGCCUUUUCUGCUUUUCCUGUCUUCUUUUCUCUUCUUGUGACUAUGUCUAGACUCAGAUGGGAUAUUGUGACCUGAAGAAUUUGCAGAGAAGCCUCAUCAAACAUGAACGGUUGACCACUCACAUUCAAAACCUGAUUGCGCUCAAAACGUUCAGGAUGUCCAGGAUAGACUUGGCUUUGGAUGAACAGCGAACACUCAACGUCAGCACCAACAAUGCAAAGUGUUUUUGCCCGACACAUCCACGGAGGAACAAAUCCGGCAUCGCUAUGCCACACAAGCCUCACAUUAUCGAUGCUUUUGUUCAGAAGGAGCGGAGCAUCGACUUCAUUUAUAAGUAAAGUGCCUUUCCUGUUCCCCAUGAUCGAGCUGUGUGCCUCGACUCCUCUCUGGAUUUUGGACUGCCUCCCUCGAUCCUAGACCACUGCUCGGACACAGACCUAGUUGCUUCCUCCAACCCCCGACCGCUUGCUUGGACAGCCUUCUUGCCUUGCUCCUCUGGUCUGACGAAGGAUUUAUCCAACACACACAUACAACAAACUCUGGUAACAUGUACAUUGUUAAUUCUACACAUCAUUUUGCACCAAACACAUAGAGUAGCACACACCUCCCACACA
Long non-coding RNA from Nerophis ophidion (straightnose pipefish), 871 nucleotides. RefSeq lists it as uncharacterized. NCBI's taxonomy places the organism in Eukaryota, Metazoa, Chordata, Actinopteri, Syngnathiformes, Syngnathidae. The transcript is spliced from 3 exons. The record is from RefSeq and is a predicted model, not a curated record.